Long non-coding RNA from Heterocephalus glaber (naked mole-rat), 492 nucleotides. The record is from Ensembl. NCBI's taxonomy places the organism in Eukaryota, Metazoa, Chordata, Mammalia, Rodentia, Bathyergidae.
GCGAGAGCCAGGCCCAGUCACAGCCAGCUAACGGAGUCACAGUGCCUAGAACAGUAAGAUUCACUCAGAGGCUGCAUGGGAGCAGAAUGACCAGAGAGCAGCCUAGGCAAAGUGAAGUCUUGGGGUAGAGGCCAGAGUACGAAGAGCCGAGGGCUGAUUUGAGAGUUGGCAGGGGCAGGAGCAGGGGAACAGAGUGAAGAAGGAAGCCCAAAAGAACCAUUAGGAUGCACUUCAGUCCAGUGAGAAGGGCCUUUCUGGGCUCAGAAUGAGCAGGUCUGGCCCAGACCCAGACCCUCUCGGAGUCAACCUGGUUGGUUGCCCUGUCUGCUUGGCUCUUGCAGCCUCUCCACCUUCAGGUAACUACCCUUCAACUCUACUCCUGUGAAGCUGGCUUCUGAGCUCCCAGGUGUAAGUGAGAACUCGAGCAUCAUCUCUUGCCAAAUCCCAUAGGAGUCGUCAUCGGACUGUACAGAAUCUACAUAUGAAGUCUGG